Molecule: non-coding RNA, 127 nt
Organism: Candidatus Margulisbacteria bacterium GWE2_39_32
Lineage: Bacteria; Bacillati; Candidatus Margulisiibacteriota
Source: Rfam
AUUUUAGAUUUAUAUAAACCGAAGAAAUAGGUGCCACAAAAGGCUUAAUAUCCUAUGGAGGUUGGAUACAGAGUGAUGGAUUAUAUGAACCAUCGGUAUUCAGCCGAUGGUUUUUUUAUUUUCAGAU